Long non-coding RNA from Mus musculus (house mouse), 618 nucleotides. RefSeq annotates it as predicted gene, 40802. The transcript has 3 exons. The record is from RefSeq and is a predicted model, not a curated record. Lineage: Eukaryota; Metazoa; Chordata; Mammalia; Rodentia; Muridae.
UACAGGCUCAAGCUAUGCUCGGUGUUAACCCAGUCUCCUGCUGCCAUGGAUCAAGAUGUGGAACUCUCAGCUCCUUCUCUAACACUAUGUCUGGCUGCACACUACCAUGAUGAAAAUGGAAUGAACCUCUGAAACCAGGGUUAGAGACCAUGGCUGUCACAGUGGGGACCAUCAUGGCUGCAGGCAAGCAAGCAGGCACGGAGUUGGAGCAGGAGCCUCGGGCUCACAUCUAGAGACAACAAUGAUGGGGCAGAGGCAGCACCAGCGGUUUUCCCUCUCCUAAUGCAGUCUCUCAUGUGUGCGGUGUUUGCAGACACUGGGUGGGAUUGCAAAGCCUGGAGGAAGAUGAAGCAAUGAAGUGUCAGGCAGGUGGUUGUCAUUGGUGAAAGCUGGCCUGAUCCUACAGUUAUGCAAUCUGAAGUAAGUGCACCCUAGUCACCUCACGUAUCCCAGUCUCUACUGAGGUACACGGAACCACCACCGUUCUAUCUGAAUGCACCCCCCCCCCCGCAUCGUGGGGACACCCGAAUCGUCCCACUUGGUAGACCAACAGUCAUGGAUCUAUCUCUAAAGUAGAAUCAGAUAUACUUCUAAACCCUGGGUUCUCCUGUGACAUCU